GGAGCUGACGGAGCAACGCCGCGUGAGUGAUGAAGGUCUUCGGAUCGUAAAACUCUGUUAUUAGGGAAGAACAAACGUGUAAGUAACUGUGCACGUCUUGACGGUACCUAAUCAGAAAGCCACGGCUAACUACGUGCCAGCAGCCGCGGUAAUACGUAGGUGGCAAGCGUUAUCCGGAAUUAUUGGGCGUAAAGCGCGCGUAGGCGGUUUUUUAAGUCUGAUGUGAAAGCCCACGGCUCAACCGUGGAGGGUCAUUGGAAACUGGAAAACUUGAGUGCAGAAGAGGAAAGUGGAAUUCCAUGUGUAGCGGUGAAAUGCGCAGAGAUAUGGAGGAACACCAGUGGCGAAGGCGACUUUCUGGUCUGUAACUGACGCUGAUGUGCGAAAGCGUGGGGAUCAAACAGGAUUAGAUACCCUGGUAGUCCACGCCGUAAACGAUGAGUGCUAAGUGUUAGGGGGUUUCCGCCCCUUAGUGCUGCAGCUAACGCAUUAAGCACUCCGCCUGGGGAGUACGACCGCAAGGUUGAAACUCAAAUGAAAUUGACGGA
RNAcentral lists this ribosomal RNA (548 nucleotides) under uncultured bacterium. Its description in RNAcentral is "bacterial SSU rRNA". It matches the Rfam family "Bacterial small subunit ribosomal RNA", at positions 379 to 917 of the family's 1533-position model. The record is from RNAcentral.